This is a long non-coding RNA of Populus nigra (black poplar), 925 nucleotides long. RefSeq lists it as uncharacterized. The record is from RefSeq and is a predicted model, not a curated record. The transcript has 2 exons. NCBI's taxonomy places the organism in Eukaryota, Viridiplantae, Streptophyta, Magnoliopsida, Malpighiales, Salicaceae.
GUAAAAUUUACAUAAAUUGAGUACAAGGAAACGGUGAUCCACUUAACUAGAAAGCCCUCUACAGCCCCUGAAGAAAGUGACAAACAACAAGCCAAGAAUGAUUUGCCAGUAACAUACAUGUACACAACACCUAAUUCCUCCCUACGCGAGUCAGGGUCAUUGUCUCAAGCUUUGCAGAAAAGCUAUGAACGAUUCACAAUGAUUGAAGAAACACCUUCAGCAGGAUCAAGCAAAGCGUAGAGUGGUAAGCCCAACAAAUCCUUACUGCAUGUGAAAAGGUGAAUGGUAAUUCUAUCAAGUGAGAAGCACCUUUCAUCUCUCAAGAGUGUGGAAGAAUCCACCGCACCUUUCAGCUAAAUGGGCUUUCAUGCAAUUGGCAAUGCUGGAGACAGACCCUUUACCCCACUCACCAUAAUUUGUUCACGUUGCGAUCCCUUUCUCCCGCCAUCUUUUCUGAAAGCCAAAGAAAUUUAGAAAUAUGAUACCAGGGAAACUGCAGGUUGCAUCCGCAGCUGGAAUACGUCUGAUUUGGGUGCCUUUGAUGCAAGGGCUCUGUUGCCUCCCCAUUACUCCUUGGCGAAUCGGACUCUCUGAAAACGUUGAAGGGUCUGGAUCCAGAGCUUGAUGAGUUGUUAACAUUUCUCAAAACUGUUUCAUAAGAGCUGGUAUGCGUAUCAGAUAUGGCUGAAGCAUGACAACGAAAAUACAGAGUGCUUGAAACAAAUAUGGAGCAAUAUACUGAGGAAUUUUAAAUGAUAAUCUUCCCCGAAAGAGCAAUAUACUGAGCAGAUUUUGUUGAAACUAAUUGAUUCAAUUGCAGAUGAUUUUUAUCUUUAUGAUAAUGUAGCCUUAGCAUUGUUGAAAGAAUUGAUCCUUGAUUAUAGCUAUGUAAUUGAUUCUAGGAAAUCAUUUCCAUUCUUGCAAA